RNAcentral lists this small nuclear RNA (120 nucleotides) under Ipomoea nil (Japanese morning glory). RNAcentral's name for it is "U5 spliceosomal RNA". It matches the Rfam family "U5 spliceosomal RNA". From Rfam's summary of the family: U5 RNA is a component of both types of known spliceosome. The precise function of this molecule is unknown, though it is known that the 5' loop is required for splice site selection and p220 binding, and that both the 3' stem-loop and the Sm site are important for Sm protein binding and cap methylation. Lineage: Eukaryota; Viridiplantae; Streptophyta; Magnoliopsida; Solanales; Convolvulaceae. The record is from Rfam by way of RNAcentral.
AGCCAUGCAGUGAGCACAGAGCGAACUAUUCUUUCGCCUUUUACUAAAGAAUACCGUGUGCUCAUUGUAAUGAGUGGCAUACUCUAAUUUUUUUAAGGUGUUUCUCUUUAUAUGGAGAAA